AGCAGAACUAAGAACGUCUUCAAAACAUCCUCCACUAUGGAUUGUCCCUCCAACCUUUGUCUGAAAAGAAUAAGGGCAGUUACUCACAACGUAGCUAAAUAGUGUUAGGUGCCUUCUGGAAGAAAAGGCAGAAAAACAACGUCCACUUGCUUGGUGCUAGAAGAAGGAAAAACAUAUUGCAUCCUUUUACACAAAACAAACUACAGCAACUACAGCAACAACAGACAUUUCUCUUACCCAAGUGAAUAUGACCUGGAAAGCCAGCAUAAGGAAAAAGGAAGAAGAAUUGAUUACAGCUUUUCUUUUUUGACAUCUUCACCCUCAUUUAUUAAGGAUCCAUUAAGAAUAACAGAGGGAAGAGGACCAUUGCUACAGGGCUUCUGUGCCCAGUUGGAGAUCCAACUCUCUGCAUCAGCAUCCCAAGUGAGAAGAGACAGUAGAAGCAAAAGCUUUUGCAGUGUUAUAUCUCGUAUUGAAUACACCUUGUAAUGAGUGACUGAGUGAGAACCACCGUCUCUCUCACUCAUUCACUACAAAGCCUUUAAUCCUCCCAAUGGCCACUUCAAGUUCCUUAUGCCUGUGACCCUCCAGAACAGCAGAAACUUUCUUCUGGAGUCUCAAGGGCUUACUCUGCUACAAAUCUAAUGUGAGGGAUACUGAGGCCAAAGAUUUAUGUUUGGGGUCAUCUCUAGGGCAGGAAACCAAAAUAUGUAUUUCCUCAGAUUUUGCACAAGGUGUCUAGUCUUUCUACAAGCUUCACCCAUUUUAAAAUUUUUAAAAAAACUCUCAGGCUUCAUUUGUGAGGGGGAAAAAGCUUUAAGCUCAAGUAUGCUCAUAGUUUGAAUCCCACCUCUUCACUUGGUUGUACCCACCAGUAAAAUGUGACCCUCAAAAUUUUUCAGAAAUUGAAUUUAGCUCUUGCUGUAAUGAAAGUUAUCUUUCCUGAAAGUUUGUCACGAAAUAUCCUUUACAUUCAGAUACAUAUAGUAUUUACACUGAAAUGAUUUACUGAGGAAUAAGUUACACUGAGUUUAAUAUUGUUUAGAGCAAAACCCUAUUAUUGACUUAUGCUGGUAUAUGAGAACAUAAUCAGCAGCUUGUUAAUGAGUGGCAGUUUACUGUCACAACUUAUGCAAUGUAAGUGUAAAUUGACCAGAGGAUUCUGAUCAUUAAAUGAUGGGCAGGUUUCACAGAUUAAAUACUGCAAACACUA
This is a long non-coding RNA of Pogona vitticeps (central bearded dragon), 1213 nucleotides long. RefSeq lists it as uncharacterized. The record is from RefSeq and is a predicted model, not a curated record. NCBI's taxonomy places the organism in Eukaryota, Metazoa, Chordata, Lepidosauria, Squamata, Agamidae.